GUGGAACGCUUUGAUUACACCGGUGCUUGCACCAUCGUAAUCAAAGAGUCGCGAACGGGUGAGUAACGCGUGGGGAAUCUGCCUUGGAGCGGGGGACAACCUUUGGAAACGAAGGCUAAUACCGCAUAACAAUGAUUUGGACAUCCUUAUCAUUUGAAAGUAGCUAUUGCUACACUCCAAGAUGAUCCCGCGUUGGAUUAGCUAGUUGGUAGGGUAAAGGCCUACCAAGGCGAUGAUCCAUAGCCGACCUGAGAGGGUGAUCGGCCACAUUGGGACUGAGACACGGCCCAAACUCCUACGGGAGGCAGCAGUAGGGAAUCUUCGGCAAUGGGGGCAACCCUGACCGAGCAACGCCGCGUGAGUGAAGAAGGUUUUCGGAUCGUAAAACUCUGUUGGUAGAGAAGAACGUUGAGUAGAGUGGAAAAUUACUCAAGUGACGGUAUCUACCCAGAAAGGGACGGCUAACUACGUGCCAGCAGCCGCGGUAAUACGUAGGUCCCGAGCGUUGUCCGGAUUUAUUGGGCGUAAAGCGAGCGCAGGUGGUUAUUUAAGUCUGGUGUAAAAGGCAAUGGCUCAACCAUUGUAAGCAUUGGAAACUGGAUGACUUGAGUGCAGUAGAGGAGAGUGGAAUUCCAUGUGUAGCGGUGAAAUGCGUAGAUAUAUGGAGGAACACCGGAGGCGAAAGCGGCUCUCUGGACUGUAACUGACACUGAGGCUCGAAAGCGUGGGGAGCAAACAGGAUUAGAUACCCUGGUAGUCCACGCCGUAAACGAUGAGUGCUAGCUGUUUGGAGCUAUAAGUUCUAAGUAGCGCAGCUAACGCAUUAAGCACUCCGCCUGGGGAGUACGACCGCAAGGUUGAAACUCAAAGGAAUUGACGG
This 880-nucleotide ribosomal RNA is filed under the name uncultured bacterium. RNAcentral describes it as "bacterial SSU rRNA". It matches the Rfam family "Bacterial small subunit ribosomal RNA", at positions 61 to 916 of the family's 1533-position model. The record is from RNAcentral.